Molecule: long non-coding RNA, 236 nt
Filed under: Setaria viridis
Lineage: Eukaryota; Viridiplantae; Streptophyta; Magnoliopsida; Poales; Poaceae
Description: long non-coding RNA (SVIR_LNC003409)
Source: RNAcentral
UUGGGCUUCUUUCCCCUAUUGGCUGUAGUAUUAUUCUGACAGGGCCGUUGAUUCUUGUUUCUGGGGUAGUCCUUGGCAAAAUGCCCCUCGUUGUCGCAAGUGAAGCAGUGGUUACCAUUCGCAGGACACGACGGCAGCGAAAAGGUCGGCCAGGGCGCCUGCGGGUGGAAACCAGGGAAACGAGGUGCUGCCGGUGGCAGAGGGCGAGCAACCUAUCGUCCCGACUGCUGUGGCCU